UUUCUCUCCUCUCUCGAUUCAAGGUCAAUGUCCAAUCUGGGCUCCCAGAAGGCCACACUAAUGAAAAGUCUGAAAUGGACUCGCUGCUUAGUUCACGAGUAUGUAAUGAUGAAAGCAGCCUUGGACUCUCAGGCAUAAAAUGGACGGAAUCUUUGAGACCCUUUGAUCUAGGUUUAUCUUCCUCCCGAAAUAUUAUCAGUGGCGACAGUUUAAGCAUUGGCAGAAUUAUUAGCUAGCGUGGGCUUUUGGCACUGCUGCUCUCGGAGACUGAAAAACUAUUUUUGAAGUUGAAAAUCUACUUUUUGAAAUUGAAAAUCUACAGGAGACCAGGAAACUGAAAAAUAAGAGCUGCAGCUUGACAAGUGGAGGAAGUGAGGAACUACUAUAAGAUAUCAAUUUAACAUUUGCUAGGUCUGUUCAGGCAUUUUGGCUGGGAUGCAUUUGAAAGCAUUUUCAAGGAAGAAUGCGUCAAACAAUCUUGAUAAAUGUUGACGGUGAUGAUGAUGUUCAUAUGGUUCAUAAGGAACCCCUGGUUUCUUGAAUAUCAACCUUCAAAUUUUGUUGUAUUGCACUGCCUUGAAAGUAAUUUGUCAGAAUACAGUGGUCAUGAUGAAGAUUCUUUGUGGAAGGUCCCUUGUAAGAAUGAACACCUUAGAGAUGAUUCUUUUAGAACUGGUAGACCAAUCCUUU
Long non-coding RNA from Tripterygium wilfordii, 690 nucleotides. RefSeq lists it as uncharacterized. The record is from RefSeq and is a predicted model, not a curated record. Lineage: Eukaryota; Viridiplantae; Streptophyta; Magnoliopsida; Celastrales; Celastraceae. The transcript is spliced from 3 exons.